GGGCUGGUAGUUCAGGGGUAUGAAUACCUGGUUCGCAACCAGGGGGUCGAGGGUUCAAAUCCCUCCCAGUCCACCA
RNAcentral lists this transfer RNA (76 nucleotides) under Candidatus Bathyarchaeota archaeon. RNAcentral describes it as "tRNA-Ala". It matches the Rfam family "tRNA". Rfam says of the family: Transfer RNA (tRNA) molecules are approximately 80 nucleotides in length. Their secondary structure includes four short double-helical elements and three loops (D, anti-codon, and T loops). Further hydrogen bonds mediate the characteristic L-shaped molecular structure. tRNAs have two regions of fundamental functional importance: the anti-codon, which is responsible for specific mRNA codon recognition, and the 3' end, to which the tRNAs corresponding amino acid is attached (by aminoacyl-tRNA synthetases). tRNAs cope with the degeneracy of the genetic code in two manners: having more than one tRNA (with a specific anti-codon) for a particular amino acid; and 'wobble' base-pairing, i.e. permitting non-standard base-pairing at the 3rd anti-codon position. The record is from RNAcentral. Lineage: Archaea; Thermoproteati; Candidatus Bathyarchaeota.